UAGAAGCCAAAGUAUGAGGGCACCAGGUA
RNAcentral lists this non-coding RNA (29 nucleotides) under Mus musculus (house mouse). The record is from RNAcentral. Lineage: Eukaryota; Metazoa; Chordata; Mammalia; Rodentia; Muridae.